Molecule: non-coding RNA, 84 nt
Filed under: Paramoeba aestuarina
Lineage: Eukaryota; Discosea; Flabellinia; Dactylopodida; Paramoebidae
Source: RNAcentral
UUUUGUGAAGAGUUUUUUGUUAUCUUUUUUUUCUUUUUUGUUUUUUGUAAACUCUUCCUUUUUUCUUUCAAACCUCUUUUUGUU